CCUACGGGAGGCAGCAGUGAGGAAUAUUGGUCAAUGGACGAGAGUCUGAACCAGCCAAGUAGCGUGAAGGAUGACUGCCCUAUGGGUUGUAAACUUCUUUUAUAUGGGAAUAAAACGUUCCACGUGUGGGAUUUUGUAUGUACCAUAUGAAUAAGGAUCGGCUAACGCCGUGCCAGCAGCCGCGGUAAUACGGAGGAUCCGGGCGUUAUCCGGAUUUAUUGGGUUUAAAGGGAGCGUAGGUGGAUUGUUAAGUCAGUUGUGAAAGUUUGCGGCUCAACCGUAAAAUUGCAGUUGAAACUGGCAGUCUUGAGUACAGUAGAGGUGGGCGGAAUUCGUGGUGUAGCGGUGAAAUGCUUAGAUAUCACGAAGAACUCCGAUUGCGAAGGCAGUUCACUGGACUGCAACUGACACUGAGGCUCGAAAGUGUGGGUAUCAAACAGGAUUAGAUACCCGAGUAGUC
Molecule: ribosomal RNA, 460 nt
Filed under: uncultured bacterium
Lineage: Bacteria
Description: partial 16S ribosomal RNA
Rfam family: Bacterial small subunit ribosomal RNA
Source: RNAcentral